UCCGGCUUAGCACCGGCAGUCCCAUUAGAGUUCCCAACUAAAUGAUGGCAACUAAUGGCGAGGGUUGCGCUCGUUGCGGGACUUAACCCAACAUCUCACGACACGAGCUGACGACAGCCAUGCAGCACCUGUCUCACGGUUCCCGAAGGCACUCCUCUAUCUCUAAAGGAUUCCGUGGAUGUCAAGGCCAGGUAAGGUUCUGCGCGUUGCAUCGAAUUAAACCACAUACUCCACCGCUUGUGCGGGCCCCCGUCAAUUCCUUUGAGUUUCAGCCUUGCGGCCGUACUCCCCAGGCGGGGUGCUUAAUGCAUUAGCUGCGGCACCGAGGGGGUCGCUCCCCCCGACACCUAGCACCCAUCGCUUACGGCGUGGACUAC
This 377-nucleotide unclassified non-coding RNA is filed under the name uncultured bacterium. RNAcentral's name for it is "contains 16S-23S intergenic spacer region". The record is from RNAcentral.